GUAGGGGCUGAGCACGAACAGUCAGGUUUUGUCUGCACUGUGAGCUGCUAUGACUCUUGGACUCACUUCCCCUCAUACAGGAGGAAGUCUCUCUGACCAAGGCUGAGAACAGGGCUGCUCUAACCCAAACCUGAUUAUAUAGAGGAUAAUUUGGCUGUACACCCAUGUGGUUCUCCCAGGGGUCCGGGAGUUGAUCAUGCCCUCUUGUUAUUUGCCCGUGUUGAGGCAGAGAUUCACAGUAGGUAGCAGAUGACUGAGAGGUCACUCUCCUCACAGCCAGGAAGGAAAAAGAAAGAGGUCACAAUUCACUUUGAAAGCAUGUCCCAAUGACCUCCCAUUAGACCCCACCCCUUAAAGAUUCCCUACCCGGCCCUACUCCCAUCCCCAUACCCCACCAAAGACCAACCUCAAGUCCUAGAGUGGGUCACAUGAAGGUGUCCAGCUCACACCAAGGACAGACAUGACCUAAAGGAAGGGAAAUCAAGUGUAACAGUUCCUGGAAUUUCCUCUCCCCUCUGAGGUCUCCAUCUCUUGGUACUCUUGACCCCUGAGUCACUUCGCAAGAGGAGGGCACCUGCUUCUAUGAGCCUUGCUGCUUCAGGGAAGGAACAGGGCAGUGAAUCACUCCACCCAACAGAAGAGGCCCCUCGAGCCUGGCACUCACAGAUGGGCUUCUUUCUGCCUUUCCCCCAUCCCUUUCCUCAACACAAAGGACUUACAGGACUGUCUUCACUAAUCCUUCACUAAUCUUGCCUUACUCCAAGCCUGGGAUCCCAGGUUGGCUGGGGCGGCAGUAACAGAGCAAGAAAUGAUGUCAUUGACUUUCCCUCUGCAGCAGAGAAUUUUAUCACACAACCUUCUAGCUAAGGAAGCUUGAUGAGGAAGGGCAAGCCCGACCCACCCUGCCAGGGAGGAAGUCCUCUCUUUCGGCUCCAAGUGCAAGCGUCUAUACAAACUCAGUUCUUCUCCCAACGUGGCACCUGGCUGCAAGCCAGUCAUGGCUACUAGCGUCCAGGGAACUAGUCGCCUCUGUACAGGGGCUCCUUAAAUCGGCCAGGCUGACUAGGGAGCCUAGGGUCAGCGAACGGCUGUUUCAAAAGUAUAAGGUGGAGAAGCAAUUGUAUCCAUGCCUGACCUCUGAAUACGCACACUUAUGCAUGUGUACACAUAGCUGUUUAUGGCAUUCCUGGAGAUAAGACAGCACUUCACUUGUCUGUAGUGAGUGCCAAUGGCCUUUCAUAGGGGAAGUGAGACGUCACGUUGACUCACUUCCUUCUUUGCACGGCUCUUCACCCCUAUUCUGAGUUCAUGUUGUGCACUCUCAACUGUCCUUCAUGCUCCAUGCAGUGUACUGUCCCCUGGGAUGUCUCCCCACCAUCCAGUGGCCCACGUCUAAUCAGAGACGUUGCUCCCGGGCUGAGUCAUCCACAGAACAGCGCGCAAACGAGGACAGGGCUGAGCUGUCAGGAGAAGCUAAAGACAAAUUCGUAAGCGUAACUGCCAUGUUCCGUUCUGGCCUGUGCUUAGAAGAUUGUCUUCCCCCUUCAGCUUUCCAGAGAGCUGAUUGGUGCCCUGGGGAGCAGGGAACAUGGGGCUGACCUACCGGAAGACGGAAGAUUAGCAGGGGCAGGGUCCUGGAUUACACAGAUAUUGCCCGGGCUCAAAGCACACCUACUCCGCGGGGCUCCUGGCAGUAAAGGAAACAUCGGUGAAGAGAUGUCAAAACAAGAUUUGAGAGUCUCGAAGGAUUUUCAGUGUUUGAACAGAACAGGGAACUGGGGAUGUAGCUCAGUUGGUCGUGUGCUUGCGCGGCAUGCACAAGUCCCGGGUUCGAUCCUUAGCAUGGCAUACACCAGGCCUGGUGACACACUCUUGCUAUCCCAGCAGGCUGACACAGAAGGAUGAGAAAUUUACGACGACCCUCAGCUACAUGACACAUCCAAACUAGCCUGCCUUACGCAUAAGAGACAGAGUCUCAAAAUAAACGAGGAAGCAAACAAGAGAGUUGGGACACACAUGCACACACACGUGAGCACACGCAUGUGCACACCCAUGUACACACACGUGACAUACCACACACACCACAUACACACACACGCACACCGCUGUCACCACCUCCACCACCACCAAGGGGAAACUGAGGCAGAGAAAUCCCCAGGCUGUUUAAUGGCGUGUCAAAUUUGGAACCACAGGAAUUACAGGAGUUCUAUGUAUCCCUUUGAGAAUGACUUCUGUCGAUGUCAUUACUCGAUGGGGACCUGUGGGAAGGCAGUGUUUGCUUUAUCUCAAUUCGUCAUGUAAGCCUGUGGGUGACAUUGGCCCUCGUCUAUAAAAAAUACAAGCGUUGGGCCUUAGGCUCACAGGAGCUCCCUUGGAGUGUGUUUGACCACAUCAGUUGCAUGGGCACCCUCUCAGUCCUGGGGAUGCAGGUCUUACUUGCAGGGAGCUUACGGUCUCUGCACAGGUGAGGCGGCAGGAAGAAGAGAGGGAGGUGGGGAGAAAGGGGUGGCUAUCAGGCCUGUGACAGGAUAAGGUUGUCUACAAGGUUCGCAGCCAAGUUACAAAAGAAAACUCUCAUAAUGUUUUAAGUAAGUGUUCACUUUUGUGGCGGCCACAGCAGCCCACAGGGUAACAGGUUGGACACAACUAGGCCGCUAUACGUUGAGAGUCAGAAAAAAUGGCAGGCAUACCAUGCCAGAGCAGGCACGUGCUACAAAAGGAGCAGCUUGGCAAAGGAGAAGAGAGAGGCCUCCAGAGCCUCAGCCCGUAGCGCCUCCAACAUGCUCUCAGCAAGCAGUCUAUAAGGGGUGUGCCAUAGAGGUCAUGGAGGACUCAGGGGGCAGAGAGGCCACUGGAGGAUCUAAUGAAGAUAUAGGAUGUGACUCCUUGGUGAAUCAAGAGAAAGCUGGGAAAGAGGAGGCUCCAGUAGCACCCUGAGCAUGGCCUCAGGAGGGUCUGGCCAGUUAGCUACAGUGCAUCCCUAAGCCAUCUCUCUGAGCUUCCUCCUCUCCUCAGUGAGAGGGACUCCGUUGUAGGUGAGUGGAGAGGAAUAGGCUUGGAUGAGUUCACUCCCCGGCAGGAACGUAAAUAAAGGCCCAACAUGUGACCGCCGCAGAGCUGACUAAUGUUGACAGAGCAUCGGUCAACCUGCCUGUCAUGUCCUUUCACCCUCCCGGGACAAGCCCAGGAAGCAGGCACUGUUAUGAUCCCAUUUCCCGGGUGAGGUAAGCAGUUUCGUCGGGGCAUCAACGUUAGUCAUUAAUGUGCUCUCCAGUGACAUCGUGGGAGGUUAAGGUGACCCAGCUACUCAGCAGGAAUGUGGGCAGAGACCGCAGCAGCAGCUGCUGGUGGCUGAGGAGGAAAAUAAAGGGACGCCGGGCCAGACAGGACUACACGCCUGCCACAGACCGACAGGGCUGCGUUUUAUGGAGGAAUCGGUUCACGAGUGCUAAGCUUUGUUUGGAAUCCGGAUGGAUGCCUGGGCGUUUAAACGUCCCACAACUGAGACCCGGACUCAUGCGCUCUGCCACCGUGAUUUUGCCUGUUCUAGGAGUUCCUAUAUGUGGGCUCACGGGCUAUCCCAGAGUCUUGCUGGCAUUGCCGAGCGGUCUCUGGGGUCAAGCAGAGCUUAUUUAGUCAAACCACAGACAUCCAAACUCUUGCUACGGUUCCCUGCCAACAAAGCAGUUGUGGACGGACAGUUGAGUCCGUGUGUUGGUGGACGCGUCUUUAGUUUUCCUGGAUAUCACCUAGGGAUGAGCUUCGUGGGUCACAUGCUCUGUCUCACUGUAUAAAACAUUGUUUUUUUGUUUGUUUUGUUUUGACAAAAAAAUAAAAUAAAAUAGCUGAA
Non-coding RNA from Rattus norvegicus (Norway rat), 3850 nucleotides. NCBI's taxonomy places the organism in Eukaryota, Metazoa, Chordata, Mammalia, Rodentia, Muridae. The record is from RefSeq and is a predicted model, not a curated record.